CUGAAGAGUUUGAUCCUGGCUCAGAUUGAACGCUAGCGGCAUGCCUUACACAUGCAAGUCGAACGGCAGCAUAGGUGCUUGCACCUGAUGGCGAGUGGCGAACGGGUGAGUAAUACAUCGGAACGUGCCCAGUAGUGGGGGAUAGCUCGGCGAAAGCCGGAUUAAUACCGCAUAGUCUCUUCG
RNAcentral lists this ribosomal RNA (183 nucleotides) under Alexandrium tamarense. RNAcentral's name for it is "partial Bacterial small subunit ribosomal RNA". It matches the Rfam family "Bacterial small subunit ribosomal RNA", at positions 1 to 184 of the family's 1533-position model. Lineage: Eukaryota; Dinophyceae; Gonyaulacales; Pyrocystaceae. The record is from RNAcentral.